RNA transcript from Triticum aestivum (bread wheat), 3943 nucleotides. RefSeq lists it as uncharacterized. The transcript is spliced from 6 exons. The record is from RefSeq and is a predicted model, not a curated record. NCBI's taxonomy places the organism in Eukaryota, Viridiplantae, Streptophyta, Magnoliopsida, Poales, Poaceae.
UCGGACGACGUCCUAGCCUCCCUCGCACGAAAAAAAACCCUCCUCUCGAUCCACCCCUGGUGCUGCCCCCAUCUCUCGCUCCGCCGCCGCCGUCGCCCCUGCUUCCCUCCCGCUCAGCCACCUCCACCGCUCCCACCCUUUUUCCCAUUAUCGGAUCCGCUUGCUCGUCAAGGUUACGUGGCGAAGCUCCACGUCCGCGAAGGGCACGUGCUCGUCAAGGAAGCGGCUCCCGGAUCUGAGAUCGCGCGGCCAUGACGGAAAGGGCUCGAGGUGGCCGCCGAAGACCAAGCCGUUCACGCAAGCCCUGGACACGAUCCUCCCGACGCAUGCACUCCUCGCGUCCUCGCGCACCAAGGUUAGGCGGCAGAUCUCCACGUCUGCGACGCGCUCGUGGUCGUCAAGGAAGGGGCUCCCGAUCGAAUCUGCGUUCACGCGGCUUGUGUGCCAUGGCCGCCAUGGCAAUCCAUGGCCGACAAGAGGGGACCCUCGGUCUCCAUCACCCACCCCAGGCCGGUUUCUACAGUAAGGGCUAUGGGGCUGGGCAGGUUAGGCGGAUGGACAGUGUGGGAGCUCCACGACCUGAAGGAGUGGGUGGUGUGAGAGCUGUGGGAGGCCGCCAAGGCCCUCACCGUGCGCCGCGCCGCCGUCAGGACGUACGCUUUGUGGUGGCGCUGGACAGGGACGUCCGCCACCCUUCCUCAAGCCCACCAUGGUCCGCAUCCCCUCCCCACCCCACCUACUCGGUUCUCUCUUUUCCCAAUCUCCCUGUCUGGUUAUAUUGUUUUCUCCCAGGCUAAUUUCAGAAAAGUAGAUCUUAAUUCGAAGCAAAAUCAUGGGCUAUUUGGAGGCCUGUGCUUAUUUGGUCGGACAAGCUAUAUGGAUUUGCAGUGAGCUAAUUGAAUUUCUAGAUGUUGCCGAAGGAGUUAAUCUUCAUACAUCUUUUGUGUCCACUGGAAGAAGUAGUAAAUGUCAUCUGUAUUAAUCUUGCCAUAGGAUUUUCAUUCUAAAGAACAUGUGUGGCAGGGGGUUCUUCUCGGCUGCCUCGGAGGCUCGGGCACAACACUACUUUCAUGGACUUUCCCCUCCUGCUCUUUGAGUUGUACUGUAUAUUGUUUACUACUGCUAUGAGCUGGAAAAAUAAUGACAUCUGUGUAUAGAGAUCGGAUUAAUAAUGGUCUCCUUCUGUACUAAUUUUUUGCAACACUGUCCAUCCGCAUUGGGUUCAGUGUUCGUGGCUGUCACAUUAUGAAUCUUUAUGAGACACGAUAGUUUGUUGUUAAAUUUUUAACCUUUUCUAUUUAAGAUAUAUAUAUAUAUAUAUUACAAUCUUCAAUGGGCAGCUCCAGGUUAGAUCUGGAGUGAGGUGAUAGGGGCAGCAAGCAACAAUAGGGAACCAAAAGGAUCUCUUGUAUGAAGAUUCGCAGGUUUUGUUCAGCUCCUGCAGAUUUCGGAAUCAGGAAUUGGCAAUGGCCUAUUACAGUAAUGCUUCCUCUACCCGUCAUUCACUUGACCUGGAGAGAGGUUUGCAUUCAGCUUUAAUUUCUGAGAGGUUUAUUAAUGAAGGUCCAAACAUAUUAGCAUAUCUGGAUGAGAUGUCAAUAUGAAAUGAUACUAAGGCAUAACAUCAAAUUUUCUUCAUGUUAUAUAUAUUCUGAUAUAUAUUCCCAGAGAAUAUUUGUGUUUUACACUUUUACUUGGCAUUAGUUUGGAGAAGUACUGUAAAAUUGAAAUGUUGCUUCGUUUAGUCAUUGUAACUACUGCACUGAAUACUAGAAAAAAAUGUGACACAGAAAUAUUAGCUUAGGUUGAGGAGAUGAAAUUUUAUUUUGUCCCCUGUUACACUUCAACUUGUAAGUUUUGACUAGAUUGUAGCAUUGGUAAAGAAGUCCCAGGGUCGUUGUGCAAAGCUAUUUAUACUGAAUAAUGCAGCCCAACUUGCAGCUUCAGUAACUGGUGGUGUUAUUACUAAAUGUGUUUUGUGCAGGUUUCAUGCUCUCCUAUUUGUGAUCUAUGGGAUUUGCCCUUGAUCUAUUCGAUACAACGACUAGAACCACGCUCCAGCCGCCUAUCGCAGGUCCUUUCGCCGCCGCUGAUCUAUUCGCUAUAUCGACGGAAACCACGCCCUGGCCGCCAUCACGGAUCCCUUUGCCGGCGCCGAGAUCCUAGACGUGCCGCCGCCGAGCGCUUGUCGCUCGCCCCUGCCCGUCUCUCCCUCCUCGGCGUUGGCUGCUUCGAGUCCUUCAGACAGUGUGCCCCAGUCGCGCUCCCGGUCCUCCUCUGCUGCGACCUCCUCCUGGGCGCCUCGGCCACGGCUGACCUCUUCUCCUUCGCCGAUCUCCUCGCGUCCGCCGCCGCUGCCCGGGGAGCACGCCGAUCGCAGGUCGUCCUGGAGGUCACGGCUAGGGAGUUCGUCCCCAAGAUGUCGCAGGAGGCUGUGGCGCAGAUGGGCCAAGAGGAGCAGGGGCACCUUGCACUUGCCGGCCCAGCAGCUCGUUAGCGCUGAGAGGAUCUCCAAGUGCAACUUGCAUAAUUCCGUCUGGCUACUCGAGCAGGUUCGCCGUUCUUGUUGUUCUUGCGUGUCAAGACUCUUGGCUGCAGACUUGCAGUUCUGCAGAUACACUAUGAUUGCAGCGGGUGUUGAAAGAAAUCAUCCGAUGGUCGUGAGUGACCGAAGGAAGUGCUUUGUAUUUGGUGACUGCUGGGGACGAGUUCACUAAGGAGUGGGACUAAGGUGUCGCCACUCCCCUGCCUUGUUACUAAAGCAACUAAUGUUGUUUGUGGUGCCGACUUCACUAUCUAAUUGUCAUCGGUUGAGGGAUCUUCCGUACUGUAAGGCCUUCCUGAAACUAUUAAACUUAAAGAUUAGCACGUUUUUUCUCUCUUUCAGAUAAAGCAAGCUUUGAUCAUCUUCUCAUGAUAACAACUUUAGAUUAUUAUCUGCUUUGGCUGUAAUUAGUGGGGUUUUUCCUUCGUCAUUUCUUUUAAGAUGUAUUUAGUUCUUCUGUGCUAUUCAGUACAUCAGGACUUCCUCAGUAUGGCCAACUUGGUCAUGGAAGUGAAUCAGGUUGGUUGCUACUAUGUUAACACACGACACCUACUAAAUUUGCCACGCUGGAGGCGGGGAAACCUAGACCUAUGCUAAUUGAUUUAAUUAAUUAUUAUUAUUCGUUAGGCGUCUGAACAGGCAGCUGAGCGUUGGACAUGGCCUUAUGCCUCCGAAUAAUAUGUUCAUACCCCAUAAGUUCUUUGAAAUAUUAAUACAUCCAGUUCAGUACUAUUUUCCAUAUUUUAACUUUACAUACUGUUUUUUUAUUAUCUGCUGUUCAUUAUAAGUACCAGUCAAAAAACUGUUAAUUAUAAGUGCAUAGCAUAGCCCUAUAUUUAUUAUAUUCAGUGACCUUUUUUAUGAAAAUCAUUGCUACGUGUCACCAUUUUAUAUUUGGUGCUCAUACCCUAAACCUUUUGUAUUUGCAAGAUCACUCCUUAAUGCUAAGAGGGGAGAGAUGAUUUUAGGGAUAUUUUUGUCAAAGGAGAACAUUGACAAAAACAUUGAAUACAAGGAGCUUGCAACCAUGAUGGAAUGAAUCUUUGCGUGGCAGCCUGCUUACCGCCCAGAUAGUGAGCCCCUGAGCUCCUGAAGAAAGGACAGUUGAAGGAGAUGAAAGAAGCGAACACAAAGGAUCCUACGCCAAAGAAUGAAGAGGCCGAGGAAGUGAUGGAAGGGGGUGCACAUUAUUUCUAUACACAUUUAACAUUUUUCAUAUGCUUGAUAACAUUUUUGAGAUACAAGAUUAACAUUCUUUUAAUAAAAAGGUCAACAUUUUUCCUAUACACACAUUAAAAUUCUCAAAUGCUUGGUUAACAUUUUUUAAAUAUAAGAUUUCAAAUGCUUGAUAACAUUUUUGAGAUACAAGACUAACAUUCUUUUAAUACAUGGUCAACA